This 497-nucleotide ribosomal RNA is filed under the name uncultured bacterium. RNAcentral's name for it is "partial 16S ribosomal RNA". It matches the Rfam family "Bacterial small subunit ribosomal RNA", at positions 28 to 507 of the family's 1533-position model. The record is from RNAcentral.
GAUGAACGCUGGCGGCGUGCCUAAUACAUGCAAGUCGAGCGAACAGAUGAGGAGCUUGCUCCUCUGACGUUAGCGGCGGACGGGUGAGUAACACGUGGAUAACCUACCUAUAAGACUGGAAUAACCUCGGGAAACCGGAGCUAAUACCGGAUAAUAUAUUGAACCGCAUGGUUCAAUAGUGAAAGACGGUUUUGCUGUCACUUAUAGAUGGAUCCGCGCCGCAUUAGCUAGUUGGUAAGGUAACGGCUUACCAAGGCAACGAUGCGUAGCCGACCUGAGAGGGUGAUCGGCCACACUGGAACUGAGACACGGUCCAGACUCCUACGGGAGGCAGCAGUAGGGAAUCUUCCGCAAUGGGCGAAAGCCUGACGGAGCAACGCCGCGUGAGUGAUGAAGGUCUUCGGAUCGUAAAACUCUGUUAUUAGGGAAGAACAAAUGUGUAAGUAACUAUGCACGUCUUGACGGUACCUAAUCAGAAAGCCACGGCUAACUACGUG